This is an RNA transcript of Lolium rigidum, 4589 nucleotides long. RefSeq lists it as uncharacterized. The record is from RefSeq and is a predicted model, not a curated record. NCBI's taxonomy places the organism in Eukaryota, Viridiplantae, Streptophyta, Magnoliopsida, Poales, Poaceae. The transcript has 4 exons.
CAGAGCCUGUACUAACGAAAACACCCACACGUCGCUCUCCCACAGUGUUUCAGCAGUCUUAUCUCCCUCAACAGUCCAUUCGCCUUUCUUCCCAACACCGACGACCAGCUCGCGCCCAUGCCUCUCCGCCGCUGACCUCGGCGGCUUCCCCCUAACCGCAGCUGGCCUCAACGCUGCCGCCAAUUAGCUCGCGCCGGCGGCACGCCCCAGCUGUUCCCCGCCGCUCGUCGUCACCGAAGGCCAGGCGGUAGCAGGAGGCAGAAGGUGCAGACCUCGUCUCCAUUGGAUCCACGGCCUCGACCACAGCGCGUUCACUUACUUCACCAAGCCAGCCACCUGCUUCCACUGCAAGGAUGCCCUGCUCCGGCAGGUUGGAGCGAACCGGACCGGAGCGCCCAUGUAUGAGAUGCCUCUGCCUUCCGGAGUGGAUGAUCGAUGCUCCUUCCAACCUCUCUCGCGAAUGGAAUGCUAAAGUACAGCAAGCAGUCAUCAGACGUAUACAAAUUUGAAGGAUCAAUGAAAUCAAAUAAACAGGAUGAGAAGCAGCGGUGAACGGGGGGCUGCGGCAAGUCACAUCGCCGGCAUCCAAUAUGCCGAGGAGGAGCAAGGCUUCCUUAGAAGAGCGUGCAUGAGCUUUUGGAGAAGAGGAGCGUGGCGUCGCUGAGAGUAUCGCCAUCAGCACGCUCAAGGUCUGCAGGAACAAGCACGCCUUCUAAAGCUCCACCUAAUGGGUAGUCCUCGACAUGUUGCAUCUCAACCAACGCGCAGCCUGCAGGACAGAGAUCCACUCAUGCUAAGUUAAGAGAAUCACAUUCAGUAGGAGCAGCCUGGGCAGAUAUGCGUCUAUGGCGUGGCGAUGGACCAAGGGGAAAGGAAGGGGAUUUGUGCCACCAAGAGAAGAUGGACCACAGCGGCGCUAGGAGGUCGAGCCAGCGCCGCGGAGGAGCCAGGCAGCGCCAAACCUCCAAAUAGCGGCUUGGGGCGGCUGUACCUUGCCAGCAACUUUCCCCGGCGAAGCUCCGGCCGACCUCGACGUGACCGCCGUACCCCUCCGCCCCUACGGCCCUACCUCGCCACCCAAGCAACAUCGCCAGGCAGCGCCGAACCUUUGAAGAGUGGCAUGGGGCUCUGUGCUCCCGCCUCUCAGCGCGGACAUCAUCAACCAUGCCGGCUGCACCUUCCCAGCAGCUUGCCCUGGCGAAGCUCCGGCCGACCUCGACGCGGGACGCUGUUCCCCACCGCCCCUACGUACGUCGCCGGCCAAGCAACGCCGGCGCCAUACAUCCUCGGCCGCCUGCAGCUCCUCUGGACGAAGCUUGCAGCGUGAUCUCUCCUGCCUCCGUCGAAACCGGACAUCGAAGCAUGUCUCCGAGGCGGGUCAUGGCAGAGGGGCGAUAGGGAGUAGAAAAUUGGCCAGCAAGAAAGGGAAAAGCAGCAACCGUCCCGGAAAAGAAGGAUCACCGGAUGGAUCCCGGCUGCUCCCAGUAAAUAGGAAUUAUAUAAGAGGAAGAAAAGAAGGGAAAACGAAAUAGGCUUCCGCAUGUGCAGGAAGAAAACCGGACGUACGUGUCUCUAUGCCUGAUUAGAUAAAACGGGUGAUGAACAGUUUACAAAACGCUACCAUCACGGCAUAAGGGGUCAGCUUGCCGUGGCGCGGCUAAGUUGUCCAUGUAGAAAAGGCAAACUCAAAUCGAUCGAUCGAUCCAGCUCCCGGCCGACUGCAUCUUCCGCUCGAUCUCGGCGCGUCCGUCGUCGCUACAUCACGAUGAACACCGGCGACGGCAUCAGCUUCUUCCCCUCUGACGUUCUCGUCGACAUCUUCGGCCGCCUCCCUAGACGCGCCCUCGCCAGGUCCUGCUGCGUGUGCCGCACAUGGCGCGCCCUCAUCAGCGCCCAUAACCUCAACCCCCCGCUGCUCCCGCUCCCGCUUCCGCCCUACUUCCCAAGGCGUCCUCUCGGAGGCAUCUUCUUCUGCAAGACCGGGUACGCGUCCAAAACUUGCUUCUUCGCCCCGCCUGGCUCCCGACGCCUCUUCUUUCCAUACGAGGAGGAGGUGGACCAGUCAUGCAACGGCCUCCUCCUCCUUUAUCGGGAUGGUACGUGUGUGCUCAACCCGGCGACGGGACGGUGCUCUCGCCUACCAAGUCUACCGCCGCAGACACGCAUCGUCGCUGAGUCACUCGCCUUCGACCCGGCCGUGUCGCUGCACUACGAUGUCUUCCUCCUUGAGGAACUAGCAGCAAGACCAAACCAAGGCGAGGUUCCGCAGCAGCUCAAGAAACCACAGGUGGUGCGGUCGUUUGUGUACUCAUCAAGCACCGAGCGGUGGGAGAACCGAGAAUUCGUGCCUGGGCGAUGUGCCCCUGGGCACCUCUACGAUGCCGUGGCGACCCCUGGCAACACAUACAGUCCAACGGUGUGGUCAUCAGUCUAUUGGCGUGGGUCGAUCUACAUGCACUGCCGCAAUGACACCCUAAUGGUUCUACGCCCCUCGUGCGGGACUUAUGAUAUGGUGCAGCUACCUGGAAAACCAGGCAAUCCAUCAGACAUGAUCUCGCUACCUUGGAAAUCUGUACUAGCAAGCUAUGAGAGAGGGAUACACUACGUGGAAAGAAUAGACAAGUUGCAGCUCCGUGUAUGGACACUAAAUGAAUCCACAUAUGGCCAGCUAUGGUGGACAUUGGCAUAUGACGUUGGCCUCAAUUCACAUUGCCAUAUGAUUAAGACUCUCAUGGUACCGGGGAUGGUAAGAGGGGGACCAUGGGGUAUUGUUGGCAACAGGGGAGGACCAACCAAGUUGACCAAGGAUGAUGACUAUUAUGAUCAUAGUGAUGUUGAUGACGCUGAUUAUGAGGAGGAGGACGGAGAUGGUUGUGGAUAUUCCUGGAACUCCUUCUACAGCGAUGAGGAUGAAGAUGGUGAUGGUGAUGCAGAUUCAUGGGACGAGGACAAGGACAACUUCAUCGACAUAGACGAAGGCGCCGAACUCCUAGGCCCGCCAUCGUGGCGUGACUACUGCGAGAUCGUGGGAUUCCAUCCUCACAAGAACGCACUCAUCCUCAUAAUUCACUCUGCGGUGGUAGUGUACCAUCUCGAUACGUCAAGGAUGCAAUAUCUCGGCCACGAACAACAGCUCGACGGAUGUCCCAUUCAACAUGCUCGUUCUGUCACCGGUGCCUUCACCUACCGACCUUGCUACGCGGACGUGCUACCAGACGGACAGUCUUAGAAAGGGGAGAGGGUUCCAUUAUAUAUAGCGUUUGAAACGUUCUUUCUUUAAGAUUAAACACGGAUCAUAUAUUUAUAUAUACUCUCCUUCAUGGUCACCUAGGUAGCUUGUCGGUGGUAGUUGCCCUAUGCUUUUCAUUUCAGUUAGAAUUAGAAAGGAAAUUUUGCUUGGUUUUGUCAUGUAAUACUAUAUGUUGCUUUUUGUUAGUUUGAUUGGGUCACUUUUGCAAGUUAUCAUUGUCUGUUUCAACACCUGCGUAAAAGUGUGAGCUACAAAAUUUUAUCCACGUCACGACUAGUUUAUCGGCAUGUUGUGCUGACAGGUGAAUGACAACUGUCACUACUACUUUAUCUUCAAGAACCCAAGAGAUCACACCAUGUAAUGUUGAACAGUCUUUUGAUGACGUCCAUGUAUCAGAGAAAUCAUCAACUUCACUGCGACAGGUAUCACCUAUCAGAGAAACCCACAUUAUCUGCUUUGCCACAAAGGAUGUCAAAGUAUGUUGUUGGUUAGCGAUGUAUGGUAAAAUUCGAGAGUGCUCAUUUCAAUUUCAGAUAUAUAUUUCAACUAAUACAAACAGGGAACAUGGCAUCAGAAUCACAUACGAGCUAGCUUGGUGUUGAGCCCCGCCUCGUUUCCCCUCUGUCUGCAUACACUUCGUGGUCAGCCCCAUGAUCUAUCUCGAGCUGCUGGACAGAGACGAGAGAAAUACAGAGGAAGAGGGGAAGAAGACCAAACCAACAGAUGGGAGCCACCUCCACAUUAACGAAUUUUCCAUGUGUGAGCUGCCACAUCAUCAUUUUCCAUGAGGUGUGGGUCUUCGACGUUGCUCCUCGAGGAUGCACCUGAAACCUGCGUCGUCACCUGCACCUCAGCAGGUACUCUUCCACUCCAGUUUCAAGGUCCCAAAGCUGAAGACCCCAGCUCCCCCCCCACCCCUGUAGCCUCAUCUGACGGUACGUCGGUACCCUGACUGACGUGUGUGCAACUGCUGUUAGAUACCCGCCACGAUGACGGUGUAAUGUAGGUGAAGCUAACCUUAUCCUGUUCAGUGUGCCCGCUCCCCAUUGGAAGCGGCGAUUGUGUUUGUAACUUAUCUGUGCCCUUAUUUUUUGAAAGUCUUUUGUAACAUAUGUCGCGAGCGCUGUGCGAGCGGGCGAGGUCACUGACGGAUGUGUAUAUAUUGUGAUUAACCAUGUAGUGCCCUUGGGCCCGAAUCUGUGCUAGCGUUGGUUUGAUUUGUGAAACAACCUUGGUCCCAUACCUUGUAUAGGUAUAAGUUGAAUUUCAGUCCUGUAGUGGUGAGUCCCUUUUAGUUAAUUUAUUUUAUUCUUGUAGCUGUCUCUUAUGCAUUCUGACU